Brevibacterium aurantiacum is the source of this 75-nucleotide non-coding RNA. The record is from Rfam. Lineage: Bacteria; Bacillati; Actinomycetota; Actinomycetes; Micrococcales; Brevibacteriaceae.
UUCGGUCCUCGGUAGUGGCUUCCGGAAGAGCACGCAUGCGCAUGCUGAUUCCGUGGGCCCCGAUCGAUGACCGGC